This 492-nucleotide ribosomal RNA is filed under the name uncultured bacterium. Its description in RNAcentral is "partial 16S ribosomal RNA". It matches the Rfam family "Bacterial small subunit ribosomal RNA", at positions 29 to 507 of the family's 1533-position model. The record is from RNAcentral.
AGUGAACGCUGGCGGUAGGCCUAACACAUGCAAGUCGAACGGCAGCACAGUAAGAGCUUGCUCUUACGGGUGGCGAGUGGCGGACGGGUGAGGAAUACAUCGGAAUCUACUUUUUCGUGGGGGAUAACGUAGGGAAACUUACGCUAAUACCGCAUACGACCUACGGGUGAAAGCAGGGGAUCUUCGGACCUUGCGCGAUUGAAUGAGCCGAUGUCGGAUUAGCUAGUUGGCGGGGUAAAGGCCCACCAAGGCGACGAUCCGUAGCUGGUCUGAGAGGAUGAUCAGCCACACUGGAACUGAGACACGGUCCAGACUCCUACGGUAGGCAGCAGUGGGGAAUAUUGGACAAUGGGCGCAAGCCUGAUCCAGCCAUACCGCGUGUGUGAAGAAGGCCUUCGGGUUGUAAAGCCCUUUUGUUGGGAAAGAAAAGCAGCAGGUUAAUACCCCGCUGUUCUGACGGUACCCAAAGAAUAAGCACCGGCUAACUUCGUG